RNAcentral lists this ribosomal RNA (292 nucleotides) under uncultured bacterium. Its description in RNAcentral is "partial 16S ribosomal RNA". It matches the Rfam family "Bacterial small subunit ribosomal RNA", at positions 28 to 321 of the family's 1533-position model. The record is from RNAcentral.
GACGAACGCUGGCGGCGUGCUUAACACAUGCAAGUCGAGCGGUAAGGCCCUUUCGGGGGUACACGAGCGGCGAACGGGUGAGUAACACGUGGGUGACCUGCCCUCAGCUCUGGGAUAAGCCUGGGAAACUGGGUCUAAUACUGGAUAUGACUCCACGGUGCAUGUCGUGGGGUGGAAAGCCUUGUGCGGCUGAGGAUGGGCCCGCGGCCUAUCAGCUUGUUGGUGGGGUGANGGCCUACCAAGGCGACGACGGGUAGCCGGCCUGAGAGGGCGACCGGCCACACUGGGGACC